Molecule: long non-coding RNA, 12231 nt
Organism: Cygnus olor (mute swan)
Lineage: Eukaryota; Metazoa; Chordata; Aves; Anseriformes; Anatidae
Exons: 2
Source: RefSeq, a predicted model, not a curated record
AAAAAAAAAAAUAACAAAAAAAAACUUCUUAGUUUGCCAGUUUUAGAAACAUCACAAAAAAUGGUCCAAGUUGUCCAGAAAAUUGGUCUGGAAAAACCUAUACACAGUGCUCAUCUUUCACAGAAGAUGCACGCGGGGGAGAGAUGGCAAAACGUGGGUUUCACUUGAAAAAGAUUCCGAAGAGGUAGCACCCCCAAAAAUCUGGAAUCCAGGCAGACGGAUGGGGCAGGUACCACACAGCCUUUACACCAGCCCUGUUUGCACUGCCUGUUACUGUUCAGUCAACACCGAAAGUCUCUCUGCUCUCACGGUGAAAGACAAGGGAGGCAGACGACCGCCAAAGGGAACGGAGGCCAGGCUGCACCCAGAGCAUUUUCAUAUUGAUUGUGGUAUUGAGGCAAGUGCCUGUCACUGGGCUUCUUCCUUCUUAUGUGCCCUUUGCCCCGACAUUGCUGUGCCUGCAGCAGUGGGCAGAGGCUCCCCGCCAGGAAAACCCUCUGCUGCGUGCCCCAGCAGGGGAGGAGUGACCGUGAGGAGGCUGAGGACAUACAGGAAGACACAGAGUUGUCUUGGAGAAGGACUGCGGGGUAAAACGGGGCAUGGGGAAAUGUCACAUCCAGCAAGAUUUCCAGCCGUAUAUUCAGUUUGUUUUCUCACGUACAAAACCGGCUUACUGACAUCUGCCAAAGAUGAAGGACCUGUUUUUUAGAAGGUGAGACUCAGCAAAGCUACCCCGCACGGCCUAGUGGGCAGCGAGCAGCGAGUGUCUCAACUGCAUGGCACCGGAGCACCCACACAUCUACUUCUUGGGCUGGCGGCACUGGGCCAAACUGGUCCCCACUGCCUGGUCCUUAAUUCUGGCCAGUCAGCAACAGAAAGCAACAACGUGCUGUGGGAGCGCCUCGAUGAGAAGGGAAGAAUCGGCCUCCACAGGAGCAGCGCCAGCCGAGACCGGGAGGCAGGAGGACGCGCGGUGGUACCAGGCCAGGACUGAAAAUGUUGUUUUCCCCACUUCCCUGAGUUCACAUCGUUGGCUGAAUGUCUGGAUCCUUAUGUCAAACGUGCACUUAGGUUCAUUUUCAGUCAUAGGUACCUCAGUUAUUGAUGAUUUGCAGAAGGAUGAAGUCUUUUAGGACACUUACUUCAAAAUGACGAGUUAAACUACCAAGCAGGAAACCUUGAGUUAAAUAAUUAAUUUGAAUCUUGUUUUCCCGUUUAUACAUUUUAGUUAUUUUCUUGAAGAAAGGUUAAUUCUCAGUUUGUAACCACCAAAGUAUGUUGCUUUGUAACUAAAUAUAGCUUUUACACUAAAUUUGGCACUUCUUAUUGCUAGCCAGAAGGACAGAGUAGCUCUACUGAUAUCUAUUUAAGCUCUUCUAUACCUCAUUAUACAUUUUUUCAGAUUUUUUUUUGUUUGUUAGAAAAUCAUGGAUGGCACAAUUCCUAUUUACUAGCUGAUCCCUUUGUGCUCAUGUAUGAUUUACGUUUGAAUGCAAACUGGAAUGCAACUUAAAAUGUAGAGACAUGGUUUAUCAGUUGCAUUGCACUGUUGUAAACAGGUUAGCCUUAAUGAGGAAAAAUAUAUAUUGUGGUUUGAUUUUUCAGUUGAGCUAUUAAAAUAACUCAGCAUUAGCUGGAAUUAGCACCAAUCUAGAAAUUGGUCAUAACAUCCUUCAAUACUGUAGUAUUACAAAAUCUAAUCCUCUCAUAAUUACCUUUUAUUCACAGAUUGGUAGAGAAGAACAAGCUUUUCUGCUUCUUUCAACUCCCAAUUGGUCAAGUUUGAAUGAAUUAAUCACUUAAUUGAGCUAAUUGAAUAUACUGAAGAAAAUAUUCUCUUGGUACUUGCCCAAGAGACAACGGAUCUCAAAAGCCACCUCAGUACUUCAAACAACUCGAGUAUCCAGAGUUUAGGCAGUGACCUUCAGCAGUUCAAUGGCCUGACUUGCAGCUUGGAAGCAAGAAUGUACUGUUUCCAUUUUGUUUAUUUUUUUAUGAUUUAAGCAGAUUACAGUAAGCUUAGGCCUUGCCACCAUUUUAAUAGAUACAGUUUUAAGAAGAAAAGAAUAAUUUUGAAAACUGUUUUUGUUAUUUAUUACUUGAUCGUUAAGUUUUACCCAUCUCAUUGACUCCGGGUUCAGCUCUCUGCUUAACAUUUAGUUCCAGAUUCUUAUUUUUUUUAGUGGAGAAAGGUGCCAGCAUCACCACUACCAGCAGUAGAAAGCAGCAAAAACUAAUCAGAAAUAUUUUAUAGAAAAGUGCCAGAAAAUACAUAUUUUUAUCAGUUGUGGAACUGGCAGAAAGUGGUCUGAAACAGCAACUGGCACUGUCUAAAGUUUUAAAAAUCUUUGACAUCCUUCUCUUCUGCCCUAACCUUCCUUCAUGGCUGUAGAGUGAAGACAUUCUGCAGCCUGCCCUCCCCAUGCUUUGCAACAGAUGCAUCAGGAAGGUGGUGAAUGUUUCAGCCUCUGAAGUCAAGGCCUCCAAACAUCUUUGAGACCUACAGUACCACAGAGGCCCAAACUGUUGCUAGCCAUCCCCAGAAGUUUGCAUUUGGCUUGAAACUAUUUAAUUUUGCCAUUAGUAUUCCCUAAUGAAUAAGUGAUUAAACCCCACAGCUGCCCCAAGAAAUGCAACCUAUACGGUAGCAUAUUUGUUUUCUGGUUUAUCUUGUUCAGAAACGUCAGUGCUGAGCUCCUGCAGGACGAUCACCUGCUAAUAGCAUGCGUGUUAGACACAAUACUGACCUUAAAGGCAAGUUGACUCAACUGAACUCUUUAUCAUUUCAGACAUACUCAAAGGGAAUCUUUCUUGCCUGUGUAAGUACAACAGUAACUUCAAUUUUGUUUUUGGAAUUCAAAAUCUGGAAAUGCCAAGUCACCUUCCCCACUCCUAGUAUGCCUUUUUGCAAGCACUUUUUGAUUUUUAGUAUGUGGAACAGGCUUUUUUAUCCAUUCCAAAUGUUUUAAAUCACUAAAUCUGGACAAGCUUUUCUCUGUUUUAAGAUUCCAUAUCAAAACGAGGAAAUUACGAAUUUCCACACCAUGUUUUGAUAUAUAAUUUUCGUUUCUUUCCAGCAGUCCUGUGAAUAUGGGUUAUCAUGAAGCAGGGCAGGAGCUCCAGGCUUGAGAACGUUCAGAUGGGAAGGAAGAAGCACUACGUAUGCUCCUAUGUAUUUGUCAGAAGAGACAGAUGCGAUCCAUUGCAACCAAACUUCUAGAGAGCUGAAGAGUUUAUGUGGACUCAGCCUUGCUGGCAAGAAAUAAACUUUUCCUCUGAAAAUGAGAUUCUUCUUCUGUCAGUAUGGAGAUGGGGGAAGAAGGCCAAUUCCAGUGGUAACUUUUCAGAGGAGAGCCACAGCCUUCACCUUGUGACAGGCACUGUUUAGUACCCCUAUGCUCCCAAGCAGAACUUGAUGUGCUACAGAAGUUACGAAAAUAAUUAGCGUAAACUGGUGAGCUGACAACAGAAAAGGCAAAUUCUCAUUGAUGCUGAAACAUGUUGAUGUACUUAAGGCAUGAAAAAAGUAAACAAACACAUAGUAGGAGAGGGGUUCUCAGAUUAAACGAGUACCACGGGUGAGAAAAUGCAGUUAACCAACAGCAAAAACAAAAGAGGAGGGGGAAAAAAAGCAAGAGCAGAGACCAACACGCUGCUGCAACACAGAGAAAGAGAUGCUAGGAGAUUUUUGCCAUCAGUCUGACUUUUGCAGAGCGGUGACUGGAACCACCAAAAUUUGGCUGACCAGCUUCCAAAUGGCGCAUGAAUAUACCUGCACAACAGCCCUGAUGGGAUGAUGGAUAUAAGAGUGAGUGAAAGAGCUUAAGGGAAAAAGAGUCCCGAAAGAGAUGAUUUUUGCCGAAGAAAAGGUUUGCUGAUCCAACAUCAUUAACUUUCAGAAAAAUGAAAAGAAAUAACUGCAGAAGUCUCUUGCAAAGACAAAACUGUACUCCUAGGAAAGGACCAGCUCUGGAGGGAAACACAGAAUUGCGCUGACCAGGCUAAACUAGACGCAGUUUCCUUACUUCAUCCUGAGAUAAUGUGUCCUGCAAGAGGCCACCACAGGAGCUUAUUCCUGUAGUGCUAGAAACACCAGAGCCACAAAACAUAACAAAACCUCUCAUCAUAAACGUCAUCGUGUAUUUUCACUAUUUAUGGGUAUGAUGAGAUGUAUCUACCGCAGCAGUAAGUCAAAGUACGGCACAGAAGGAACAAGCGGUUAUGGAAAACCAUGCCAUAUGACCUCUUCAGUACAAAACCUCCGGUGAAGCACUGGAAAAGCCCAGCAGCUUGGGUCCUGGAAAGAUCUGGUUGAUGAGGCUGGGAGCUCACUAUCCAACACUGAUAAAGUGUGAUGCCCUAUGUCUCUUCCUGUCAGUUAAGCUAGAGUAAAAUUUACUUCGUGUUUUGAAAUCUGUUGGAGGAGAGAGGAGCUCCAGGUCACCAGCCCAUAGUCUGGGCUCCCUGUUUCAUUCGAUUGUUGCAGGUAAGCAGCAACUGUGAUUUUUUACCAUUCAGCAGGUGUUUGCUGGUCACUGAAAUCACCAGAAAGGUCAAAAACCUCAAUGUGCUUACAAAUCAAACUGCCUUCUUAUACCCUUGAUUAUUACUCAUCCGGUUGAGAGUUGAGGCAGGGUUAUGUGGAAAAACACUGAAUUUCCAUUGUCGCUGUAGCAGCUGUGCCAUGAGCAGAAAACGUCAGCCUUUGGGGUGCCCAUCUGCAGCCUUUUACAAGCCCUAAAAACCUCACGUUGUACAUAAACUAAAAAAAAUGAAGAUGAAUUAUAUGUUUUACUUUGCCCAAUUCCUGUUUGAGCUACAUUCUACUUCUAAUACUACUUUAAAGCUGCUUAUAUGAGCUUAUUCCUCUUCUCACGGCAAAGCACACCUAGAAUGAUUAGAAUCUGAAUAAACCUUGUAAUGUUCCAUAAUUUCCCUAUUUAUCUGAAAUGAUUCGUUCCUCUAGCAAGGAGAAACGCCAACAUGUCAGAACCUUCCUGCCCAAGCAAAAUACGAUGGAUUGUAUCGCGUUAUAUCACAAACUUUGGUAUCUAGUGUCUUCCUUUCAGGAAAAAAAAUGCACAUCACCCUCCACCGUUAAAGGGAACACAUGGGUUCCAACUGGCUGCCAUUAAAUUUCACAUCUUGAAACCUGCAAGCAGACAUAUGGUAGAAGCUGAAUUACACGGUACUUCUGAACUUGCUGCGUGUAUUCCAGGAGGAUGGGCUGAAAAAACAGUCUCAACAGUUCAACUUUUAAACAAAAGAAAACUAACAAAAGACAAAAAGGGGGCGCCAUUGUGAGAAUGACUUUUUUGCCUGCUACAUUUCAUUUCCCCGUGUUUAACGACCUGUCUAUACUAAGAACACUGCGACCAGACGAGAAUAUAAGUGCAUCAUAUUAGUGAGAUAAAUCUCGGGACACAAACCAACACGAGCCUUUCCUUUAUGUUCUGGGCAAUAAAGCUGCUGCGGGGUGAGGAGGGAGCAAGCAGCAAAGUGAGGGGGUGAGAAGGGAACUGGCCAUUAACUUAUCAAUUCCAGGCCUUGGCUUUCUAAUUGACAACCUCAGGGCUACUUUCAUCACUUGUCGACUUCAAACCCACACUCAAUUUUUCCUUUAGAUAAUGAUGCAACUAUAGCAUAACGGUGUUUCUGACAUAUUGCAGCAUGUAGCGGGAGGAAGAUUUCCUCGGUAGCUUAGUUUAACACGAAAGGAAAAAAACCAAAAACAACUGUUAAAUGUUUUUCACAUCUAUCAACUUCUCAAAGAAUCGGUAAGACAGAUUUUAUACUUCCAGUAGCUGAAGUGAGCAUUUUGUAUUGGCUCAACCCAAAGUGCCUCAGAGCGCUUCAGUACGUUAUAGAUUCAACAACAAAUAAGCUGAUGCUUAAUACAAUAAACCCACAAAGUAUUUGUGUUUAAAGCCUGAAUAAAAAAGAACCCACAAAAACUAGAAAUAUGCUACGGAUCAGAGAGCUUAAAUUAAAAAUACCACAAAAACAAUACCACCGUCGAAACGCCACCUAGAAAUAUGUUUUUCUCAAAGAAAAUACAGAAGCAGCAGAGUUGCAGGAGUGCUGUUACAGGCACGUCCUUACAGACAGCUGGAGAACCCUGAUUCGAGUCCUCCUGCAGGAAUCAAAGUGGUCCGCUGAAGACAGCCAGUCCCUUUGUGAAGAGUAAGGUCCGAUCCUAAGUAGGUUUAUCAUAUUUUAAUGACAAAGAAAAAACAACAACUAAAUUUUGUCAAGUAACAGCAUGUCCACAGCCAACAAAGCACCUGGCUCUAACAUAAACAGUCACAUAACUGCCUUUUAAUAGUGGAUAUAAAGGUUUGAGUCCUGCAAUCAACUCUGCAAAGGCCCCGGGGUCAUACUAAACCCCGUGCAGUAUCUGGGGCCCCGAGCACGUCAAUAGAGGCAACAAAAGCAGCGUAAGAAAACAGAAUAAUACACACACACCUCCAAAUAUCGGCUGCUUCUCUGGAUCCUAAAAACUAGGUACAGAGGGGUGGCAGCUCGGACGCUAUGCCGUAUCGCCCCUUGCUGCUGAAAAUAACGCACGUGAACACGUAGAUGCUGAAUUUGUGCUGAUUAGCAAAACAAAGGUGCUGCCGGCAGCCGUGACGCGCAGUCAGCUCUUGUCUUCCCUUGGAAUUUAUGUUCUGAUUGUGCAAAUUGGCACCCACAUAAUUGCAGUCAAGGAACUUUAAUGAGGCUGUGAGUAGUUCAGCUUGCAUUGGCUGAAGGAGAAGAGUUCAGCCCCAGCAAUUUAGGGUUAUAGAUAUGGAUGGCUAGUUCCAUAGCAUACACUUGGGAAGUUUUCAGCUUGACCCUAACUGAGCGAACGACAAAACGAACCAACCAAAGUCCUCCGCCACCACAACCGACAUCCCCAGGCAUUAAUUGCUCUGCUUUUGUCACGCACACUUGAAGCAUACCAGGGGAGCACGCUGGGAAAGCAGCGCCUGUUGUGAGGACCAAGACUGGGCUUCACAGUUUCCUUGGGCUGCCGUGCUAGCGCCUUUUGGCGUUUCUAGAUCCAUACGACUGCGGCGUGUUCCUUAUCCUGCAGAAGGCAUUCAUUGCCUGUUGGGCACUGUAGCGAUUCAUUUCGUGCAGAUUUGAUGUGCUGGCGUUAUCAACCACUUUGGUGAAGACCUCCUUGCAUUCCAAGUGUUGGGCACGCUGCUGCUGCUGCUCCUCGGACGAUAAGGAGGUGAGAGCUCUUCCUACAAAGUGCCUGGCCCACAUCAUGGACGAAGUUGACCGCCCUACAAAGUUGCAAAAUAUUAUUGAAAAGUCAAGGGAAACGUAUUUUAUGGCCAAAUUAGCAGCUCAGCAAAUGGUUGGCUAUAAUGGGAAGGCCAAUAAGCCCAAGAGCUACGCACAACAACCGAUGGGGUUUUUACUACAAUCGUUCCCCAUUAUAUUUGGGGGCAAAAGACGUACGAACCCAAGAAGUACAAAAAUUCAGGCUAUUGUACCAACUCUUAGAGGCAGGUGUUUCUCAGUUUUUUAAAACCAAUACCAACCACCUUUGCAAUUUUGACACUACAGCCAGCAGUACGAACGGGUUACCUUUCAGAGUGUGGAGUAUAAGUUUUACAAGCCUGUUUUGCCUUCCUGCAGGCGCUUUGAGCUUAUAAAUGGCACCUUUCAGUGUCCUGAAUUAUGAAGGGCAGCUAGUCCUGAAUUCUCCUGUCGCUUAAUGAUCUCACAUAAAAUGAGGUCCACAAAACUUUUAUUACCACUGCAGUUCAAAUUCACAGGUGAAGAACCACCAGGGAAAGGAUGCGGACGUGUCUCUCGCUUUUGCUCCCCUAGUUUUCCAGGUGCAGGAAAGCUCCCCUCUCAGGCUUUAGCAAUCAGUUAACUCUCAAAGCGUAGCCUGAUCUAAAUAAAAAGCCUAAAGUCUGUUACCCCAAAAAGCACCGGAGGCUAUGAGGGGAAGACACUUGAGUGUGACACACGCUAGCAUCAAAUUUAGGUUAAAGACGUGAACGUGAAAACUAAUCUGCUCCUCCAAAAACUAUUUAAGCAUUUGCUUACGAUCUUUUGCUUGCCACAUAAUUUUAUUCACUUGUUGCCAUUUAGUGUAUUUGACACUCAAGAAUUGUAAUAAUAUUUAAUUAAAUCUUGAAUUGGUUCCUUCCCUGUUCUUGAAUUAACACCCGACGUUUGGAAAACAUGCUGGACCUCAGCAGUCAGACUGAAAAUUCGAAAGAAAGCCUUUCCAAAAAAAUAAAGGACUUUGUUUGCUACAAAUUACUUCUGCAUUUAUAUAAAGAUUUAACGAUUCAUGGCAUGCCAAAUUCAGUGCUAAUGAGUUUUGGGUUGUGUUUUUCAUUUUUGUUUGAAUUUUUUUUUCCUGCUAAAAACAAUUACUAGAGGCCAUUCAAAUGCCACUGCAUAAACCAGGAAACCUAGUAAAACUGUAGGUAAAAUUGGCAUUUUGUUUCAAGCGUGGCUCAGGAGUCCAAUUCGCUUGUUGGCGAGCUGCAUCUUACAAACAGCUCUUGCAUCUCCUCCAAAAAAGAAGCAGGGUAAGAUGCUUUUCAAAAAACACAUCCACAACACUCUUUAAUUAAAAGCAAAAAUUAAAGAGCAAAAGCUCACCAUUUAAUUCCAGCGUUCCAAGGAUGAAGGAUCUUAGCCUUUCUGCCUCCCUCUCCACUUUCCAGCGAAAAGUAGAUAAAUUAGCAGAAACGUAAGCUCUUCACUCUCAGUACCUCUUCAGAGAAUAGACGUGCCCAUGGGAGCUUAAAGACCUUCCUGGAGAGCGUUAUUAAUCUUGCUCCUAACAGUGUUAGUAUUUUUAAAGCCUAUUAAAACACUAUCUAGUCAUACCAGUGCAAACCUUGCUUUUUCGUGACCUGGUUUCAAGAAACAAAUAAAAAGUCAGUGGAAAUUAUACCCAAUUAUGUUUCAUCGGUCAGUAUACAGACCCCUGUCCACCUACGGUAGGAAAUUUAUGUCCAACACGGGCAUUCCCCACCAAAUGGUGCCAUCCACCACACGUUGGUGCUUUGGUCUAGUGGAAGUGCUGUCUUUAGCCGGCUUUGUUCAGCCCCUCUAUCUCUGCCCAUGGGCCGAAUCACCCUUUCAGAAACCUACAAAUAAUUCAAACCUGAUUUCGCACUGGGUGUACCAUUCCUGCGCGGCUGCGGAGGAACUGCUCCCUAUUGACACCACUGCAAGUAAAGUCACAAUCAAUCCCUUUGACUUCAGCCUUCCAAGUAACACAUGCACUACUCCAAAGGCUUUCCGAUGACUUUUUAAGUGAAAACAUCCAGGAUGUUGUGGGUUUGAACACAUCAGCAUAGCUACUUCCUAGCAGCUGAUAAGAGGAAAGUUAAUUAUUAUCGCCAGGAAAUAGAAAUCUUUCUGUGAUGAGCUAGUCUUGUUAUGCAUAUAUUCAGUAUUUCCCCUCCUUCUCCAAAUAGCAUUCACCAACUUAAAAAGAAAAAACAAAAAAAAAAACAAAAAAAAACACAAAACACAGAAAAACCACCCCCACCCAACAGACUGAGCAAAUGGGAGAUAUACACACUACCCAACCCUGCUCUCCAGUUCGCCCCCAAAAAUCCCGUUGACAAUUUCAAGAGCGGGGAAUGAAACCCCUUUAUUACCGAGCCCGCAGCAGAUAAAGCAGUAAUUGUAGUUAUACAGUAUUGGAAGUGUAGCUACAACAUAGCGUGACAGCUUGUUAGUGUUGAAAAUAUAUAAGCUCUUUGUAAUUGUGCCUUUGGAAUGCCAUCUGUCUUGAAUUAACAUCCACCUGGGAUCAUGUUUCGAUGACCAAUAUGGACAGAUUACUGGAACUUUAAAACCUCGCUUUCUUUGUAAUUGACAUUUAAACUGUUUGAAGUUUCUCAUUAAGUCCUUUUUUACAAAUUAGGUGCAGAUGUAUAAAGCUAAAUGUACAGUACUAAGGGAAAUUAGGUCACCUGAAAGCUCAAUAAUAAAAUGUAUCUAUUAACUGUUUAAAUGCAACGAGUACAUUAAAAUUUAGAGAUCAGCUUUAUGCUCCAAAUUCUUCAAAGUUUCAUCAUUUCCCUUUCAUCGCUGCAGAGCCUCUCAUGCCAACCAUUUUUAAUUAAAAUGGCAGAGAAGAAAGCAGGUUUGGCUGCUCAGCCCACGACAGCAGGUCAACCCGGGCCCGCAAAACGGGGAAGGCAAGGCCGGCAGCCUCAGCAGUGCCCGUUUCACGGGGACAGGUGAAUCCUAUUUAUGCCAAUGGCACCGGGAGAGUUGCAGGGCACAGGGAGAAGUGAGGGGCGAUUAGGCCAAAGGCCUGUUAGCCCUCUCUCCUAGCCAGAGGUCUCUCGGGAUAAAUCAGGACGCAGCCUACGUGAAAUGCACGGCUGCAGACCCUUUUGGCACCACAACUAGCGCGUCGUCUCCUGACGUUAUGCCAAGCGGCGUAACCGAGCUCGGCCCCGCUCCUAAGGGUGGAGAUGCGAGGGAAGACACUGUCUUCUUCUGAAGGCUGGUAAGCAAGAUGAAUAAGCUGUGAUCAGACCCUUUAUGUGUGCUUAGACUAACUUAUUUCCUCUCAAGCUUACUGUCUUCAUUAACGCUAGUUAUUACAACGAUUUUAAGAGCUUUACUUCUUGCAUCCCCUUAUGACCUUAUUCUGGGAAGCUACUAGAGCUCUUGCAAAGGAAGCGUGAACUUUCAGCUGGCCACGUUUCUGCUGCUUCCAAUAAGCAGCCAAGCAACUUUUCUGUGACGCCAGCUGUGUACCUGCGUGAGGUGGGCAAGCGUGUCAUGAACGGUGCCAGAACAAGACAGAUCCCAGGUCCCUCACGAACAGGGUCUUCCUCUGUGCUCAGCUGCACUUCUGUUCAAGGGGGAAUUCAGAGAGAAGCGAUGUGCGUUUUUUAAAAGAAAGAAAAAUGAAACCUGCCUGUUUGCAAGCAGACAGCAACAGCUGGAGAGAACAAACCGACCAACACGUUACAGCCAGGUGACGUUCUCCAGGAGGGGACAGCGCAACUCACUUGGAAAGGGGAACAAGACAGAGGAGUAACUCAUUUGCCACUCACACCUGAUGAGAGAGACAAAGAAGUGUACCUGUAACUAAUUCCGUUUUGCUCAGACACUUUAUGACUGAUGGCUUCCGUCUUGCUAACACAUCCCCAAAGGCGGGUAGAGGGCCAGGCAGGACCUCUGAGGACUGCACUAGCUUUACGCGGCCUAGUUGGGGUGCCAGUGGUGAUUAGCUGGAUACGCUUGGCUUUGCACCCUGCUUCUCAUUAGCAUUAAUUAGCCAGCAUCAUACCUCUGCUGCUGCCAGGAGGAGAACCGGCUCGGGCAGUAGUUUCACAGCCCUUAAUACUGAAUAAGGAAUUGCCAAGGUGCACACCGGGGCGUUUAUGUCAGCCCCACGUCUUCCUGCCAGCUGCGGAGGAGAGCAGAGACUGGCUCAGCGUAAACUCCGAGCAGCGCAGACACCUCUAGGUGCGACGUGUAUACCAUGCAUAGCCUCCCUAAGCCUUGAUGUGAGAGAGCUCCAUCGGGUCUGUCCUUAGAGAAGAGGAUCACACCACCAGGGACUCGAUUAGUGGUGUUAGAGGCAUCCCUCCCCUCCCUGAUGUGAGCCACGAUCAGGUUGUGCCUGGGCAGCAACAAGACAACACCGCUUUAGGUGAACCAAAGUGACCUUGUAGUAAAGCAGAUGCUGCAGAUGCUUCUGCCUGACAAAGUGUUUUUAUCACUAGAAAGUCAUGCUUUCAAAUAAAAUUCACCUCAAGGCCAUCAUCUUGAAAGAUACACUCAAAGACGUGUAGAACAUGAAGUGAUUUUUUUUUUUUUGGAUAAAGGUUCAGGAAAGAAAUCCCUCGCAGACUUAACGCUUUAUUGAUAUUCUUGGUUAUAGCUCUACACACGCACAGUGCGAUCAGCUGCCGGUGAGGACCCUGAUUCCUGUCUUUCCAUUUAAAUGUUGCAACAAAGAAUAAAAUUAUUUCACAAGUAACAAAGGGGAACCCUUUAAUUUAGUAGAACAAUUUCAGCUCCCAUUGCAUUAGCACCCUCCAGUGUCCAAUCCAUGAAAAGCAUCAUCACUACUAAUUUGCCAAGUAGUCACAAACUUGUCUUGCGAAACCCAGCAUGAAGCAGCAGUGGGCUCCUGGGAGGGAAGGUGAGAAGGAACUCCCCAUGCUGUAAAUACUUUUUAUUCCGAGGGUAGACAUUGUAGGUGACCAACGUACAAUCCCAGAA